Lingula anatina is the source of this 227-nucleotide long non-coding RNA. The record is from RefSeq and is a predicted model, not a curated record. Lineage: Eukaryota; Metazoa; Brachiopoda; Lingulata; Lingulida; Lingulidae.
AUAUGCACUUGGCAAAAAGUGUUGUCAAUUUUAUGACUUAACCAGCAUACGGGAUAUUGUUAUAAAUGAAGGAAUCACAAUGCACAGUAUUAUAUUUUAUCUAGUACUGCUACUACGUGGAAGUGAUGCUCAGACAGAUCCACAAAUUUUAGUUCCAUUGUUUAAGCACUCUUGGCCACCAUUAAGAUUCCUUCAACACAUAUACAGAGAAUCACAGGCUGUCAUUU